GGACACCCCUCCCGGCUUCUCAAACACAAGCCUCCCAGGCCUUAGGACAAUGGCAGAGGAGUGGCGCCCUCCAGCUUUCUUACCAGAAGUCUUUUUGGUGCCAGGAAAAAUGAGCUCCUGUUGACAAGGAGGAGGAAGGAGAGGAAGAAUAGCAGCUGUGGCAGUGGCAUCAUAACCUGGAGGUAAUAGUGGUUUUUUCUAAAGCCCAGCUAAAUACCUGUUGUAUGACAGCCCUCAGGGCCUGAGGGGUGAAUGCCCCAUCCUAAGAUUAAAGGGAGAGAAAGAAGCUCUGGCCCCCAGCCCAAACCAACGAGGAACAAGCAAUGGGCAUGAGAUGGCAGCUCCCCUAGAUUGGCAAUGGCUUUCUGGACCCUUUGCUGUGCUCGCCUAGCUGCCAAAAGAGUCAUCUAAUCUGUGCACUUGGGCUUUAGCGCUAGCAGGUUGUGAGUUCAAAUCCUAUCUCAGCUGCUCACUGGCUGUGCAGCUGCUCAAGAAAAGUUGCAAGACGUUCAUCAAAG
RNAcentral lists this long non-coding RNA (518 nucleotides) under Marmota monax (woodchuck). Lineage: Eukaryota; Metazoa; Chordata; Mammalia; Rodentia; Sciuridae. The record is from RNAcentral.